ACACUUUUAAUAUAAUCCUAAACUUCAGACUGGUUAUUUUCAUUUGAGUACUGGAGUUUGAGUUUUUGUAGGUUUUUAAUCAGUUUGAACUGCCUGAACCCACGUAAAGGAAACCAUGGAAACGCUGAUUAAUCAAUAGAAAGCCGUAGGAGGACAAUACUGUCAAAAAAGCCCAGACAUCUCAAAUAGAAAUCAGAGCUUCACUCGGCUCACUGGUGCAGUCACAGUGGAAAUGAUAGCAGUUUCAACAGUUACAGCAGCAAAAAUAAUCCCAGAAGAAGGAACAGGCGAAUAAGACCAACUGUGAAAGAUCAGCAGUGAGAGCUGAAGAACAAAGUGAUUUCAUCCUGCACUGAGUCUGGCUGAGGGGGGACCGAGGUCAGCGCAGGGAGGUCAGUGCAGGGUAUCAUUACGCCUCCUUCAGGUGAAGCUGUGCUGGUAAUCACGGAAGAGCUGCUGAGGACUUUGAUAAUAUGAGAGAAGACAACAAUUAUGGAGAGGCUCAUCACAGGGGCUGCAGAUUCUCCCACAGAUUUGAAUGGAGGAAGCUUCCUGUUAGGAGCCCGAACAGCAAGCUGAACAGCAAGCCUGAACAUCCGAGUGAGUCUGACUUUUAAAGGACGAUCUUCAACCUCGAGAAGAACAAGGAGCCCUGAAACAGAUGGACGGCCCCCACAGAGCCCUGAUCAACAUUAUGGAGUCAGUCUGGAAUUACACGAGGCAACAGACGGCAGAGAGCGCCUCAACCCUCACAAGCACUAACGCUGAUGAAGACAAACUGUCUUUUUACAUACAACAGCACGAAACUGAGGUUGUUUUAGUGGUAAACAGCUGAGGAAUUCUUGGUUGUGUGCUGCAAAAUAUCUCAAUUCGUGACUGAAUAAAAACUUAAAUUAUUCAGACACAAACAAAUCCUUUAAUCCGCUAAUCCAUCUAAUUUUAUUCUCACCAAACAAAAUUCCCUCCUGUUCAUAUCAAAGUAGCAGUUGUGGGUUUUGGCGCUGGUCACGGCUCCAUCUUUCCACCACAUGUUUAUCACCGUGACGUCUGUUUUCUUAUUCAAAUGUCACUGUGGAUGUUAGUGUCCAUUUUUAUUGCUUUAUCCCAGCAGAGACCUAGAGAGGGGGAAGCCUCUUUGACCACCAAGGAGCUCAUUUCUGUUAUUCUGCUAUUCAGUUUUCAUUUUCACUAACCUGAGCUUUUCAUUUUGAGUUCAGAAUUUAUUUUGUUUCAAACUGUGAUGUUUUUGACUGAUAACAACUCAGAUCCAAGGAAUGUCCUUCUUUUUCUGAAGAAGACCUGGAAGAAAAACUCCUGAAUAGCUAUUAAAUGGCCUGCGUGCACAUGACGCUAGCAGUGCCAUGA
This is a long non-coding RNA of Oreochromis niloticus (Nile tilapia), 1365 nucleotides long. RefSeq lists it as uncharacterized. Lineage: Eukaryota; Metazoa; Chordata; Actinopteri; Cichliformes; Cichlidae. The transcript is spliced from 4 exons. The record is from RefSeq and is a predicted model, not a curated record.